UACGAAGGGGGCUAGCGUUGCUCGGAAUUACUGGGCGUAAAGGGAGCGUAGGCGGGUUAUCAAGUUGGAGGUGAAAGCCCAGGGCUCACCCUUGGAAUUGCCUUCAAAACUGAUAGCCUAGAGUAUGAUAGAGGUAAGUGGAACUCCGAGUGUAGAGGUGAAAUUCGUAGAUAUUCGGAAGAACACCAGUGGCGAAGGCGGCUCGCUGGACUGAUACUGACGCUGAGGUGCGAAAGCGUGGGGAGCAAACAGG
RNAcentral lists this ribosomal RNA (253 nucleotides) under uncultured bacterium. Its description in RNAcentral is "partial 16S ribosomal RNA". It matches the Rfam family "Bacterial small subunit ribosomal RNA", at positions 524 to 776 of the family's 1533-position model. The record is from RNAcentral.